Molecule: ribosomal RNA, 767 nt
Filed under: uncultured fungus
Lineage: Eukaryota; Fungi
Description: eukaryotic LSU rRNA
Rfam family: Eukaryotic large subunit ribosomal RNA
Source: RNAcentral
GAACUUAAGCAUAUCAAUAAGCGGAGGAAAAGAAACCAACAGGGAUUGCCUCAGUAACGGCGAGUGAAGCGGCAACAGCUCAAAUUUGAAAUCUGCCUCUAGGCCGAGUUGUAAUUUGUAGAAGAUGCUUCGGGUGUGGCACUGGUCUAAGUUCCUUGGAACAGGACGUCAUAGAGGGUGAGAAUCCCGUACGUGACUGGCUGCCUUCGCCCAUGUGAAGCUCUUUCGACGAGUCGAGUUGUUUGGGAAUGCAGCUCAAAAUGGGUGGUAUAUUUCAUCUAAAGCUAAAUAUUGGCCAGAGACCGAUAGCGCACAAGUAGAGUGAUCGAAAGAUGAAAAGCACUUUGGAAAGAGAGUUAAACAGUACGUGAAAUUGUUGAAAGGGAAGCGCUUGCAACCAGACUUGCGCGCCGUCGAUCAUCCGAGGUUUUCCCCGGUGCACUCGGCGGUGCUCAGGCCAGCAUCGGUUUCGGUGGUUAGAUAAAGGCCUUGGGAAUGUGGCUCCUCCGGGAGUGUUAUAGCCCUCGGUGCAAUGUAGCCUACCGGGACCGAGGACCGCGCUUCGGCUAGGAUGCUGGCGUAAUGGUUGUAAGCGACCCGUCUUGAAACACGGACCAAGGAGUCUAACAUCUAUGCGAGUGUUUGGGUGUCAAACCCAUGCGCGUAAUUAACGUGAACGGAGGUGAGAACCCUUAAGGGUGCAUCAUCGACCGAUCCUGAUGUCUUCGGAUGGAUUUGAGUAAGAGCAUAGCUGUUGGGACCCGAAA